This 449-nucleotide ribosomal RNA is filed under the name uncultured bacterium. RNAcentral describes it as "partial 16S ribosomal RNA". It matches the Rfam family "Bacterial small subunit ribosomal RNA", at positions 29 to 523 of the family's 1533-position model. The record is from RNAcentral.
AACGAACGCUGGCGGCAGGCCUAACACAUGCAAGUCGAGCGAAGCCUUCGGGCUUAGCGGCGGACGGGUGAGUAACGCGUGGGAACGUGCCCCUUGGUACGGAAUAGCCCCGGGAAACUGGGAGUAAUACCGUAUGUGGUCGAGAGACGAAAGAUUUAUCGCCAAAGGAUCGGCCCGCGUUGGAUUAGGUAGUUGGUGGGGUAAUGGCCUACCAAGCCGACGAUCCAUAGCUGGUUUGAGAGGAUGAUCAGCCACACUGGGACUGAGACACGGCCCAGACUCCUACGGGAGGCAGCAGUGGGGAAUCUUAGACAAUGGGGGAAACCCUGAUCUAGCCAUGCCGUGUGAUCGAUGAAGGCCUUAGGGUUGUAAAGAUCUUUCAGUGGGGAAGAUAAUGACUGUACCCACAGAAGAAGCCCCGGCUAACUCCGUGCCAGCCGCCGCUGUAA